CGGGGACGGGGCCGAGGCGGAGUGGGCAGGAUUGCGGGAGGCUGGGGGUGGGGCGCGGAGAAGGCGAUGGCACCCCACUCCAGUACUCUUGCCGGGAAAACCCCAUGGACGGAGGAGCCUGAGCUGAACCAAGAGCAGCAGCAGCUGCUGGCCAUGUCCAUGGCAAAAGUCUUCCUUCAACAGGCAGAGUUGGUGAGGAUCUGAGGAUUGCACAGUGGAUGUCAGGGAUGACAACAAAGGUGGUGACCAUGCUGGAACAAAUUCUUCCAGUAGGAGGCAGUGCUCUUCUGUCUUCACUUCAAGCUGCCCAGGGGCUUUUAGGGUGAGGAGCUGAAGGUCACCCAGCCCUGGUUGAACUCUGCAACCUUGACAUACAAAGGGAUGGACCCCACCCCACUAUACCCAGGAGCCCAGGGCCUCGUCACCGCUCUGUGUCUUCCGUGCCAUCCUUGCUAUCUUUCAGGUGUGGCCAACAACACCUGGCUUUUCCCAGUUGGAACAGGGGAAAACAGAGUAGGGCUUGGCACAGAUCUGAGGAAGCUGGAGAAAUGGAGAGGAGCUUCGUCUCCAAGUUUUCCUGGAGGCAGAGUUUCAAAGGCUCCACCUGGGACUCAGUCUCUUUAACCAGGCUCUGGAGACUCUGUCCCGUCUGGAGAGCCUUGGAAUCACAACUGAGGAGGAAAGUUUCUCUUUCAUCAGCCAAGGAAUGGAUGGAGUUCCAGCCCUUGAUGCAGCUGCAUCUUCAGCCUGACAGUUAGGGAACCUGGCAGCAGAGGGCUGGGGGCAGCGAGGGCUGCGAGGGCACCUUAAAGUUGGACAUUGAGUUUGAUGCGUUUCUUCAGUUCUUCAGCAUAACUUUGAUUUGAGUAAGUAUCACAGGCCAUUGACCAAUGUCUGCUCAGCCAGAAUUUGGGAGAUGUUUUGGGCUCCAAAGCUGAUUUGGGAAUUUGGGAAGAAAACUUAAAGGUUUUUAAGGGAUAAGAAAAGAGUCUGGGGUUUUAUUUCAUUCAUCUCACAAUCUGAAAUCUGCACCCCAAAACUUCCAACCUCCCAGGAGAAAUAUAAAACACGAUGCCUUAGGGGCACAUUUUUUUCUGUUCCUCCAUCACUCUGGCCUGCCUUCAUCCCUAGCUAGUCCACCUCCUUUUACUCAGCAAAGGUCUAGAAGCAUGUCUGGGCAGGGGGUCACUUCCCCUAAAUGCUCCAGCCUUCCCAAAUCCUCCUCCUUUUGCCUUCAAUUUGGAGAAGGGGGUAGCAGAGGAUAAGAUGGUUAGAUAGCAUCACAGACUUAAUGGAUAUCAAUUUGAGCAGACUCUGGGAAUAAUGGAGGACAGAGGAUCCUGGCAAGCUAUACAAUACAUGGGCUCUGGCCUACAUAUGUGUGCUAAGUGGCUUCAGUCAUGUGCAACUCUUUGCAACCCUAUGGACUGUAGCUCACCAGGCUCCUCUGUCCAUGGAAUUCUCCACGCAAGAAUACUGUAGUGGGUUGCCAUUUCUUCCUCCAGGGGAUCUUCCCAGGAACCUGUGUCUCAUAUCUCCUGCAUUGGCAGAUAUAUUCUUUAUCACUAGCGCCACCUGGGAAGUCAUCUGGUCUACCUACACAUUGCAUAAAUGAAGAAAGUGGAUAAGGAAGUAAUGCCCUGUCCCAAUGUCUGUAUCUGUCUGCAGGGUUUGCAGUGCACUCUGUGGCUCAGGUUUUCAGAGAACAGGUGGCUGGGGCUUCCUCCCCUAAGUGGAUUCCCUUUCCUGAUCCCCUUGGCUGAUCCUCCAUCUCCUAGCAGAAACACACAAAUCA
Long non-coding RNA from Bubalus bubalis (water buffalo), 1795 nucleotides. RefSeq lists it as uncharacterized. The transcript is spliced from 3 exons. NCBI's taxonomy places the organism in Eukaryota, Metazoa, Chordata, Mammalia, Artiodactyla, Bovidae. The record is from RefSeq and is a predicted model, not a curated record.